AAAUUGAAGAGUUUGAUCAUGGCUCAGAUUGAACGCUGGCGGCAGGCCUAACACAUGCAAGUCGAACGGUAACAGGAAGCAGCUUGCUGCUUUGCUGACGAGUGGCGGACGGGUGAGUAAUGUCUGGGAAACUGCCUGAUGGAGGGGGAUAACUACUGGAAACGGUGGCUAAUACCGCAUAACGUCGCAAGACCAAAGAGGGGGACCUUCGGGCCUCUUGCCAUCAGAUGUGCCCAGAUGGGAUUAGCUUGUUGGUGGGGUAACGGC
RNAcentral lists this ribosomal RNA (267 nucleotides) under Salmonella enterica. RNAcentral describes it as "partial 16S ribosomal RNA". It matches the Rfam family "Bacterial small subunit ribosomal RNA", at positions 1 to 264 of the family's 1533-position model. RNAcentral also lists the same sequence under 4 other names. Lineage: Bacteria; Pseudomonadati; Pseudomonadota; Gammaproteobacteria; Enterobacterales; Enterobacteriaceae. The record is from RNAcentral.